GUAAGCAUUUUAUAUUAUCCUCAUUGUGUAUAAAAAGUGCUCUCCAAAUAAAGACUGACUGAUCUGUUCGGAUCCCAACUCUCCGCAUUUUCUCAGUUGUUGACAUGUGAGGGGAAAAUCCCAUUACUAUGCUUGCUUCCUCCGCUGCUGGUUUUGAUUUCUUGAUAUUUGUUUGCAUCUAUGGUGCUUCUAAACCUUUUAAAGUUAGCGCAUCCUUUCGAACAGGGCUGAAGUGGCCCAUCUGGUGAAUCAUCACACGAGCUAGUGGAUGAGCACAAAUCCUUCAGCAAACACUGCAUCGAGGGAGAGACAGGGCCAAUGUAAUGACUUUGUCACCAAGAGGACAAGAGAUCAGCAUGUGCUCCACUGAUUCGAGUCCCGGGAUUAGAAACUAAGAAGAUGACUAAAGACGAGCAGAGACCUUUCAUUUAAACAUAUAUUUAAUCUCUUCCUUGAAAUGACAUUACACAUACAUAUGUAUGCCUGUUUAUUGUCAAAUGGUAUAUUUGUCACCCAUUUUUUUCUUUCACUUUUAUCAUUGUCAAAGUUAUGAUUGUCACAGAGUUUAAUAAACAGCUGGAAGAAA
Long non-coding RNA from Fundulus heteroclitus (mummichog), 586 nucleotides. RefSeq lists it as uncharacterized. The record is from RefSeq and is a predicted model, not a curated record. The transcript has 2 exons. Lineage: Eukaryota; Metazoa; Chordata; Actinopteri; Cyprinodontiformes; Fundulidae.